CCUACGGGAGGCAGCAGUGAGGAAUAUUGGUCAAUGGCCGUAAAGCUGAACCAGCCAAGUAGCGUGAGGGAAGACUGCCCUAUGGGUUGUAAACCUCUUUUAUGCGGGGGUAAAGGUGUCCACGUGUGGCUGUUUGCAGGUACCGCAUGAAUAAGGACCGGCUAAUUCCGUGCCAGCAGCCGCGGUAAUACGGAAGGUCCGGGCGUUAUCCGGAUUUAUUGGGUUUAAAGGGAUCGUAGGCCGGUCUUUAAGCGUGCCGUGAAAUUUUGUGGCUCAACCAUGAGAGUGCGGCGCGAACUGGAGACCUUGAGUGCGCGGAAGGCAGGCGGAAUUCGUGGUGUAGCGGGGAAAUGCUUAGAUAUCACGAAGAACCCCGAUUGCGAAGGCAGCCUGCCGCAGCGUUACUGACGCUGAAGCUCGAAAGCGCGGGUAUCGAACAGGAGUAGAUACCCCUGUAGUC
RNAcentral lists this ribosomal RNA (460 nucleotides) under uncultured bacterium. RNAcentral describes it as "partial 16S ribosomal RNA". It matches the Rfam family "Bacterial small subunit ribosomal RNA", at positions 338 to 795 of the family's 1533-position model. The record is from RNAcentral.